RNAcentral lists this ribosomal RNA (371 nucleotides) under uncultured organism. RNAcentral describes it as "bacterial SSU rRNA". It matches the Rfam family "Bacterial small subunit ribosomal RNA", at positions 526 to 896 of the family's 1533-position model. The record is from RNAcentral.
CGUAGGGUGCGAGCGUUAAUCGGAAUUACUGGGCGUAAAGCGUGCGCAGGCGGUUUAGUAAGACAGGCGUGAAAUCCCCGGGCUCAACCUGGGAACUGCGCUUGUGACUGCUAAGCUAGAGUACGGCAGAGGGGGUGGAAUUCCACGUGUAGCAGUGAAAUGCGUAGAGAUGUGGAGGAACACCAAUGGCGAAGGCAGCCCCCUGGGUCGAUACUGACGCUCAUGCACGAAAGCGUGGGUAGCAAACAGGAUUAGAUACCCUGGUAGUCCACGCCCUAAACGAUGCCAACUAGGUGUUGGGAGGGUAAAACCUUUUAGUACCGGAGCUAACGCGUGAAGUUGACCGCCUGGGGAGUACGGCCGCAAGGUUA